UACAGAGAUGGCAAGCGUUGUUCGGAAUCACUGGGCAUAAAGGGCACGUAGGCGGGCUGGUAAGUCAGGUGUGAAAUCCCUCGGCUCAACCGAGGAAUUGCGCCUGAUACUGCCAGUCUUGAGGGCAGGAGGGGAGAGUGGAACUCUUGGUGGAGCGGUGAAAUGCGUAGAUACCAAGAGGAACGCCGGUGGCGAAAGCGACUCUCUGGCCUGCUUCUGACGCCGAGGUGCGAAAGCUAGGGGAGCAAACAGG
This 253-nucleotide unclassified non-coding RNA is filed under the name uncultured Planctomycetota bacterium. Its description in RNAcentral is "uncultured planctomycete contains 16S-23S intergenic spacer region". It matches the Rfam family "Bacterial small subunit ribosomal RNA", at positions 524 to 776 of the family's 1533-position model. The record is from RNAcentral. Lineage: Bacteria; Pseudomonadati; Planctomycetota.